RNAcentral lists this long non-coding RNA (432 nucleotides) under Strongylocentrotus purpuratus (purple sea urchin). RNAcentral's name for it is "uncharacterized LOC115923156, transcript variant X2". Lineage: Eukaryota; Metazoa; Echinodermata; Echinoidea; Camarodonta; Strongylocentrotidae. The record is from RNAcentral.
AUGCUAGAUCUAUUUUAUUUUGUUAAGGAGAAAGGGAUGCCUUGAUUGUCGUAUUGAUUUUCUUCUUCUUUUUGUUCCAAAAGAUUGAAACUGAAGAGCUGGAAGGAGGACAUUACAACAUCUCUUAUAUUUGCAAGAUGAAGCAGAAAGUCCCAUGCAGGAUGAUGCCUCUCUACAGUGGAUGAUGAAGGCAUUCUGGUUUGCAAACUCGGGAGAGGAACAAAGAACAGAUGUUGACGGGAUCAUAUCUAGAGAUGCGGGUCUACUACACUUCAUACGAGCAAGUGUGCUAAUAUACAUGAAGACUUGGGUUAUAUUUUUUUCUGAAAACUAGGCUACAACUUUAGUGAUGGAUGCAGAAGAUAUCUACACGAGACUACGUCUUAAAGAUGCCACCCUCAUAUAAUGAAAGGGACAAUAGAGAUGGGUUUA